Molecule: ribosomal RNA, 972 nt
Filed under: uncultured archaeon
Lineage: Archaea
Description: bacterial SSU rRNA
Rfam family: Archaeal small subunit ribosomal RNA
Source: RNAcentral
ACUGCUCAGUAACACGUGGACAACCUGCCCUUAGGUUGGGUAUAAACCCGGGAAACUGGGUAUAAUACCCGAUAGGUCUCGAUUGCUGGAAUGCAUCGAGAUUUAAAGCUCCGGCGCCUAAGGAUGGGUCUGCGGCCUAUCAGGUAGUAGUGGGUGUAGCGUACCUACUAGCCUACGACGGGUACGGGUUGUGAGAGCAAGAGCCCGGAGAUGGAUUCUGAGACACGAAUCCAGGCCCUACGGGGUGCAGCAGGCGCGAAAACUUUACAAUGCUGGCAACAGCGAUAAGGGAACCUCGAGUGCCAGGUUACAAAUCUGGCUGUCGAGAUGCCUAAAAAGCAUUUCAUAGCAAGGGCCGGGCAAGACCGGUGCCAGCCGCCGCGGUAACACCGGCGGCUCGAGUGGUAACCGUUAUUAUUGGGUCUAAAGGGUCUGUAGCCGGCCGGAUAAGUCUCUUGAGAAAUCUGGCAGCUUAACUGUCAGGCUUUCAGGAGAUACUGUCUGGCUCGAGGCCGGGAGAGGUGAGAGGUACUUCAGGGGUAGGGGUGAAAUCUUGUAAUCCUUGAAGGACCACCAGUGGCGAAGGCGUCUCACCAGAACGGACCUGACGGCAAGGGACGAAAGCUAGGGGCACGAACCGGAUUAGAUACCCGGGUAGUCCUAGCCGUAAACGAUACUCGCUAGGUGUCGGCCACGGUGCGACCGUUGUCGGUGCCGUAGGGAAGCCGUGAAGCGAGCCACCUGGGAAGUACGGCCGCAAGGCUGAAACUUAAAGGAAUUGGCGGGGGAGCACCACAACGGGUGGAGCUUGCGGUUUAAUUGGAUUCAACGCCGGAAAUCUUACCGGGACCGACAGCAAUAUGAAGGCCAGGCUGAAGACUUUGCCGGAUUAGCUGAGAGGUGGUGCAUGGCCGUCGUCAGUUCGUACUGUGAAGCAUCCUGUUAAGUCAGGCAACGAGCGAGACCCCCGCC